This 436-nucleotide long non-coding RNA is filed under the name Androctonus crassicauda. The record is from RNAcentral. Lineage: Eukaryota; Metazoa; Arthropoda; Arachnida; Scorpiones; Buthidae.
ACCAAACAUAUUAGAAUACAUAUGAUACGUUGAUGAUGUGCUAGUUAUUUGGAAAAAGAACACAAAAACGGAGAUACCAGUACUUACAGAACAUUUAACAAAAAAACCUUUAAGAUUAGAAUUGAAACAAGAGCAGUGCAGCCAGACAGGAGCCCAUUUCUUAGAUAUUGAUAUAGAAAUAUUAGAGGAUAGAUACAGAACGAAGGUCUAUAGGAAGCCAAUGUAUUGUCCUGUUAUAAUCCUAAACUGGUUGAAAGACCCUAUAAAAUACAAAAAAGUGGCCUUCAGAUCAUUUUUCCAGAGAGUGUACAUGUAUUGUUUGGACAUGGAGGAUUUCCAGAUCAAGACAAACUAUAUCAUAAAUAAAGGCAUGGAGCAUGGAUACUCCAAAGGAUUUUUAAAUGUGAUCAAACGUAACAUAGAGGCCAAUAUAUUG